GCCAGGCGUGGUGGUGCACACCUGUAAUCCCAGCUACUCGGGAGGCUGAGGCAGGAGAAUCACUUGAACCUGGGAGGUGGGGGUUGCAGCGAGCUGAGAUCAUACCACUGCACCCCAGCCUGGGCAACAGAGUGAGAUCCUGUCUCAA
RNAcentral lists this non-coding RNA (148 nucleotides) under Chlorocebus sabaeus (green monkey). Lineage: Eukaryota; Metazoa; Chordata; Mammalia; Primates; Cercopithecidae. The record is from Rfam by way of RNAcentral.